Mus musculus (house mouse) is the source of this 4124-nucleotide long non-coding RNA. RefSeq annotates it as predicted gene, 33280. NCBI's taxonomy places the organism in Eukaryota, Metazoa, Chordata, Mammalia, Rodentia, Muridae. The record is from RefSeq and is a predicted model, not a curated record. The transcript is spliced from 3 exons.
AUAUGUUAAGUAGUUUGGUCCACUGUACUUAGUGAACACUGAUAAGCUAAUAACAUUGUUGCAUUAGGUGCGGGAGAAAGCUUGGGCAUAGCUGAAAGAGAACUAAGAUACCUGACGCAUGAAGGAUCUCUGAACAAGAAUACUUCCAGACAGAGCGGAGCCAAAUCGACCCAUAGAGGUAGCAGUCAGCCAAAUGGAGACUGCAAAAGACCUGGGGCUGGGGAGGAAAGAAGUGCCCUCUGGGCCUCAGUGGCUGCCAGGGUGAUCUGCAAUCAGCAAUAAAACCCAGAGGGUAGAACCCACUGUGAAAUGAGGAGCAGGCCAGACAGACUCCAAGGUAUGCCUGUGUACUACUUGUGUGCAGUGUCCACGAAUGCCAGAGAGGGUGUUUGAUCCCCUGGAACUGAAGUUGCAGGCGGUGGUGAGCCACCACGUGGGUGCUGGGAUUUGAACCCUAGUCCUCUGGGAGGGUAGCCAGCACUCUAAACCACUGAGCUGGCUCUCCAGACCUCUAAUUUAUUAUUUUGGUAGUUGUCUGCAUUACACUAAGUUCUAGUAGGGGGCAAUGGUGGACGCCUACAAGGAGGAGCAGCUGGAUCCUCAGCAGGUGAAGGGCUUCCUGGACAAGAAUGAAAAGCUGACUGCUCCCUGAUGUCGCCGUGGAAGGAAAGAACCGCUUCAGACAGCUGCUCUCCACACACUUCCCCUCCCGUGGGUGGCACCGCGUGCCUGUGUUCACACACUCACCACAUGUGCACACAACAGUAACGGCAAAGAAGGGACAUCAGCCUGGACAGCUGUAUCACCUACAGGACCAUAAGUGUUUCUUCUGAUCCAGUUGUCACUCUGAGUUGAUGCCCUUUGGUGUGUACUUUAUGUCUUUGGGUUUUGCCGUUGUUGUUGUUGUUGUUGUUGUUGUUGGCUCCCUUUCUGGGAUGGGUGGAUGUGCAUAUGUUGUGCCUCCCCAGGAAAAGUCUGUCACACAGCAGCCUGACAACUGGACUUUAAAGCCCAGAGCCCAUAUCAGGGGAGAAUUGAUUCCCACAAGUUGUCCUGGUGACACACAGACCAUGAGACAAUGCACUCCCACACAUACGCGUACCCACACACAAAACACAUGUCAACUAAUUAUGAAUUUCAGAGUUUACUUUCUGAUUCUCUGUUUCUUACCAAGAAAAAACAGAGGAGAAUCAAAAGGGGUCAUGGGAAGAUAUAGCCAAGGAUGUACCUCUAGUGACCUUCCUCCAACAGGCCCCAACUUCUGCAUUCACCAGUGAACGGAAAUCUGUGCUUCUCUAAUCUCCCAGGAGUCUUGGUUUCUUUUCCUGUUGCUGUGAUAAAGACACCCUGUCAAAAGCAACUUAAGGAAGAAAAUGUUGAUUUGGCUCAAAACCCCAGGUCACAGCCCAUCGAGGUGGCAGGGGGAGAGAGUAAUUCACCCAUGCUUGUUCUGAGCUCACUCUGUCUCAUUCAGUGAAGGGCCUCCACCUCAGCCCUGAAAUUAAUAUUUUUGUAGUUGUCCCCCACAUUCAGGGUGGCCUUCCCACCUCAGUUCACUGAAUUAAGAAACUCCCUCACAAGCAUGCCCACCGGCUAAUGUAAGCUACGUAAUCCCCCAGAAUCCCUUGAGAAGCCCCUCCCAGGUAUUCCUGGUUGUGUCAAGUAGACUAUUAAAACUCACCACAUACUAGGUGCUUUUUAAAAAUGUGUGCAUGUGUGUGUGUGUGUUUGCACAUGUGCACAUAUAGAGACUCAAGGGUGUUGCAGGGAAAGGGGCAUCAGAGAACAGCUUUAUGAAGCGGUUCAUAAAGGAAAGGGUCUUUCAUCUUUCCAUGGGUUCCAGGGAUCAAACUCAGGAGUCAGGCUCGCCUAACAGUGUGUCCCUCACUGAGCCAACUCAUGGACCCUCCUGCAUACUUCUUAAUCAAGUUGACAAAAUUAACCUCUGCAAAGGCAUUCCCUUUGUUGUGGGUUUUUGCAUUAUUAUAAGCACUGCUUCAAUCUCCUUCUUUGUUCUAGGUCCUGCAUGAUUUUAUUUUUGUCUCUUUGUGUCAGUUUUGAUAGUUUUCACAUUUACAGGCCCUGCAAUUGUCAAUGUAUAUACUUCUUCCAAAAGCAGGUGGCAGGGGCUGGAGAGUGGCUCAGUGAAGAGCACUUGCUGCAACUUCCACAGGACUAGAGUUCUGGUCCCAGCAUCUACACUGCACAGUAGCAGAGCUACUCGUUAUAGCGCUGGCUUCAGGGGAGCUGAUGCCCUCUUGUGGCUUUCACCGGUACUGCAAUGCAUCCACUACCAUAGCUCUUUGAGGAAUAGAAUUUGAUGUUGCCAUCCAGGCACUUCAGUAUCCUGAAGAUCCAGUUGCUGAGGAAACUGAGGGAAGAGACCUACCACGAGGACACACAGAGACUAAGUAACCCAGCUUCACUUGGACUGAGUGAGACCCACUCCCCUUCUGACAAUGCACAGUAGCCUACUGCCUUCUGCACUGACUACGUGCACACUCAUCCCUCUCCAAACAGUGGAUCUGGCUUCCUCAGAACCUCCUCAAACCCCUGCCUUCCAAGCACUGUGUGUACUCUCUGAAGAGUAGUACAGAUUUCUCACUCCUAAUGACAAUCACAUUAGACCGUUUCUACUUAACUUUCCUCCCAAUGUAUCCAGUAGGAAGAAGAGAAGCGCCGGUUUCUGGGGUAUACACGCGGAGGCACAUUGUGUCUGUUGAGAGACCUUGGAGGUAGACCUUUACCAUCUUCUGCCUGUAUAUAGUUGCGCGUAAAUAUGAUUAGAGUAAGAUGCACUAUGUGAAGAGGCACUCAGUAUGACAUACUCUACCAAACUACAAUGUAACUAGCUGCGGCAAGCUCCUGUCUGCACAACCUCACUGCCUACCGUGGAUGCACAACUGGGAGCCAAAGUAAAACCUUAGGUGGCUCUUGUCAUUUGUUGCAGCGAUGAGAAAAGUGUUAGUGUGUGGCUAUGACCUUCUUUAUAUGUUUCUAAAAAGACAGUGUGCUGGGGGCAUAGGUCAUGGCAGGGCAUGUUCUCGGCAUGGCAGAGGUUCUGAGUUCAAGUCCCAGCACUGUGGGGGGAAACCCCAGAAAAAGCAAAACCAGGAUUAGUGAUGGGUGUGGGUCCUGGGGAGAACUAAGGUUGGUGGAGAGCUUGCUUAGCAUGUGUGGAGCCCUGGGUUCCAGCACUUGAGGAGUAAGGGGACAAGAUUAGGAGUUUAAGGCCAUCCGGGCGACAGAGACUCUGAGGUUAGUCUGGGGUGGGAUGGGGAGACACAGAGACAGAGAAUCUAGUUUUGUAUUACUGUUCUGGGAGGAACAGCUGACUAAGCGGCAGGAAACGGGGUGACCUCUCCACUGAGGCUCACGGGAAGGAGGAGGUGAGGCAGGGUGGGCAGGUUUAACCUGACAUCAUUUGAAUGGUUUCAGCAAACACAGGACAUUAGUUGCCAUUCUGUGUCCAGACGAGGCUCAAGGGUGAUAUGGUCGGUGGUCUGGAGUGUGAGCCCAAGAGAGAAGUGGCUGAGGGAUUAAUUUGACCUUAACAGGCAACCCUAGAGGGCAGACCUCUAGUCAGAGCCUCCUGUUUGAAUCAAAUGGGUGUUAAAAAGAAAAGCUAUCACAGAGCUGCCGUUAGGCCUAAUGACUUGAGUUCAAUUUCUGAGAGGAAAGCUAACUCCUAUAAGGCAUUCUCAAACCAGUGUGAUGAAUUCAGGAUAUCUCUGGUGACAUGGCCUCUGCUCACUGCAGCCUUAGUUCUACACAACAAUCGAACCGUGCACUGGCGACACCGAACAGAGCCAAUGAACACUGCAUAUGAAACUUAAUGAUUUACGUACAGAAAAUGCACCUUUAACACAUGUCUACCCCUAUUUCCCAGCAUGCAUCAACCCAUCUUUGUAUUGUAUUGGUUGGAUGUGUUGGUUCUUUGUUGGCUUAACAGUGCCUCCUCUGGCAAAGGACCCAGCACUCAUAUCAGGGGGCUUGCAAUUGCUUGUAACUGCAGUACAGGGGAUCUACCCUCCUCUGGUUGUACCUAUACACACAGUACACAUAAACUCACACAGGCUCACAACGCACACAUAUACACACAAGCUUAAAAAUAUUUUAAAACU